Molecule: ribosomal RNA, 617 nt
Filed under: Bacillus sp. (in: firmicutes)
Lineage: Bacteria; Bacillati; Bacillota; Bacilli; Caryophanales; Bacillaceae
Description: bacterial SSU rRNA
Rfam family: Bacterial small subunit ribosomal RNA
Source: RNAcentral
AGUCGAGCGAAUCAAGGGAGCUUGCUCCCUGAGAUUAGCGGCGGACGGCGUGUAACACGUGGGUAACCUGCCUGUAAGAUUGGGAUAACUCCCUGAAACCGGAGCUAAUACCGGAUAACAUUUCGAACCGCAUGGUUCGAAAUUGAAAGGUGGCUUUUGCUACCACUUCCAGAUGGACCCGCGGCGCAUUAGCUAGUUGGUGAGGUAACGGCUCACCAAGGCGACGAUGCGUAGCCGACCUGAGAGGGUGAUCGGCCACACUGGGACUGAGACACGGCCCACACUCCUACGGGAGGCAGCAGUAGGGAAUCUUCCGCAAUGGACGAAAGUCUGACGGAGCAACGCCGCGUGAACGAUGAAGGCCUUCGGGUCGUAAAGUUCUGUUGUUAGGGAAGAACAAGUACCAGAGUAACUGCUGGUACCUUGACGGUACCUAACCAGAAAGCCACGGCUAACUACGUGCCAGCAGCCGCGGUAAUACGUAGGUGGCAAGCGUUGUCCGGAAUUAUUGGGCGUAAAGCGCGCGCAGGCGGUUUCUUAAGUCUGAUGUGAAAGCCCACGGCUCAACCGUGGAGGGUCAUUGGAAACUGGGGAACUUGAGUGCAGAAGAGGAGAGC